CCUACGGGUGGCAGCAGUGGGGAAUAUUGGGCAAUGGGCGCAAGCCUGACCCAGCAACGCCGCGUGAAGGAAGAAGGCUUUCGGGUUGUAAACUUCUUUUCUCAGGGACGAAGCAAGUGACGGUACCUGAGGAAUAAGCCUCGGCUAACUACGUGCCUGCAGCCGCGGUAAUACGUAGGUGGCAAGCGUUAUCCGGAUUUACUGGGUGUAAAGGGCGUGUAGGCGGGACUGCAAGUCAGAUGGGAAAACCACGGGAUCAACCUGUUGCCUGGAUUUGAAAUCGUAGUUGUUGAGUACUGGAGAGGCAGACGGAAUUCCUAGUGUAGCGGUGAAAUGCGUAGAUAUUAGGAGGAACACCAGGGGCGAAGGCGGUCUGCUGGACAGCAACUGACGCUGAGGCGCGAAAGCGUGGGGAGCAAACAGGAUUAGAUACCCCUGUAGUC
This 443-nucleotide ribosomal RNA is filed under the name uncultured bacterium. RNAcentral describes it as "partial 16S ribosomal RNA". It matches the Rfam family "Bacterial small subunit ribosomal RNA", at positions 338 to 795 of the family's 1533-position model. The record is from RNAcentral.